Molecule: RNA transcript, 2485 nt
Organism: Piliocolobus tephrosceles (Ugandan red Colobus)
Lineage: Eukaryota; Metazoa; Chordata; Mammalia; Primates; Cercopithecidae
Gene name: DTW domain-containing protein 2-like
Exons: 2
Source: RefSeq, a predicted model, not a curated record
AGAGAAUGGAGUCACAGAAAGAGGCGCGAACACUCCAGGAACCCGUCGCGCGGCCGGCUGGGGCCUCAAGGUCUCAGACGCCAAACGACUAGGAGCUGCGGGAGGGCGGCAUAGUGCUGGUGACGGCACCAGCUGGUGACGGCUGCCCUGGGCACAGAGGCGGACGACGCUGGUACAGACUGGCUAUGGGAGCCGCAGGUGCAGCCGGCCGAGCCGAGGCCCGAGUGCAGCCGCCGCAGCCGGCCUCAGAAAGUGUGUUUGUGUCCAUUUCUCCCAGCGCACCCUUUGCAGAUCUCUACCCACUUGUACAUAAUUCAGCAUCCAGCAGAGGAAAACAAAAUGUUGUAGACAGUUCCUCUACUAGCAGCAUGCCUCCCUCAGGACAAGCGCAAAGUAAAGAUUGCUCGUCGCUUCAGUGAAGAAAAAGAUCCUGGACUUUCAACUGUUUGCUGGAAAUUUGGUACAUUAAUAUUAUAUCCAGGGGCUGAAGCUGCUAAUUUGGAAGAAUUUAUGUUAGAUUCUCCGGUUUAUCCUUUACAAUCAUCAUCAUUGAUGGUACACGGAGCCAGGCUAAGGACAUUUUCUGUAAGAAUUCCUUGUUCUGACACCCCAAACAGGUGCAGUUAAAAACUAGCAUUUCUAGUCAAUAUGUAAUUCGGAUGCAGCCAACUAAUAGAAGUCUUUCUACACUGGAGUGUGCAGCUGUUGCUCUUUCCAUCUUGGAGAAAAAUAAUUACAUAAAAGAGACUUUGUUUCACCCUCUUGAAGCUUUAUGCUCUUUCCAAUGUUAGCAUGGUGCCCAAAUUUGCCUCAGCAAGGAACACCUUCUGAAAAAUGGAUUAUAUCCUAAACCAAUGCCAAAGAACAAAUGCAAACUCAGGAAAAUGCAACUGUUAAAGAAUAGUGUUAAAAUUCAGUACAGUUGUUCUUUUGGUGCUAGCUUACCUGUCUUCAUCUAACAAUACCAAGUUAAGUUUUCAUAUAGUUUAGGUCUAUAGGUUUUUGACUUGUUAAAGUAGAAUGAGAAUUGCAUACUAAUCUUGCCCAGAAGAAGGAAGUAAACCAAAUAUCCAUAGAAACAAAUAAACAAACGAAAAUUCACUGACUCACUGAAAAGCAAGAUUUCAUACUGUACUUGUUUUUAAAAAUGUGCCUCUAAUAAUACAUGUUUUCAAACUCAAAUUUAAAAUGUGUUUUGUUGUUGAGCUGGGUUAGAAGUUCUUGCUUGUAAAAUAGAAGGAAAUCGUUGUGGUAGAUUGAAACAGUAUUGUUUUCAUUAAUGUUUAUAAAUAAGUAGGUGUAGACCAAUAAUAUAAGAUACCUACAUCAAUUUGCUGUCCUAACUUUAUAAUUUGAAAUAAGUAGCAGAAGAAAGUUAUGAUAAUCAAGUAAUUCAUUAUUUUGUAAAAUAAUAUAAAGGGAUAAGAAAACCUUAUUGUUAAGGGCUAAAUUUGAAUUCAGCUAAUAUGAUUUAAGUAUUCUAUUAAUUGCCCUGAUUUUUAAAGAGGUACAUGUAAUUUUGAAACAGCACACAUUUUCAUUUGCAGUUACUCUGGAUAAAUUUUUAUUUUUCAGUGUUCAUUGAACAGGCUUAUUGACUAUGGUAAACUUAUUUUAUUGAAGUUUUCAAAUGGAAAAUAGUAAGUGGAAUAUGAUACAACUGUUAUUUUCAGAACAUAUUUCUUUAGGGCUAUUUAAAAUAACCUUUUUACUGGGCAAAAACUUUCAACUUGAGAGAACAAAUUCCUCUCCUCUGUGGGAAAAUAUUUGCUGAGAUUUUGUAUAGAAUAAGAGACAUGUAGGUAACAUAUAUUUAUAUUCAGCAUAAGUCUACUGCAAUCAUGAACACGUCUUGGCAAGAAGAGGAGAUUUUGUUUUUAGUCUUUGUUUAUGUCUUCUAGAGUUUCCUGUAUCUAGUGUUAAGUUGUAAGGAAAAACUAAACAUGCAAUUUAAAGGUAAACUUGAUAACUAUUUAUGGAACAUAAGCAUACACUGAUGGUUAUUUCUCAUAGUUUUCAUGCUUAUUUGUUUAUUAUUUACUUGGAUUAGACUCAUUAAAAACCAUAAUGGUGGUCACAAUUAGAAUGUUAGUAUUUGGGGAAACUAUGCAGAAAAUAUUUUAAAAUAUUAAAAGUUAGAGUGCUAUCUUCUGUUGUUGAUUUAUUUUUGGAUUUAAAAACAAAUUAGGGCUGGGCCCAAUAGCUCACACCUGUAAUCCCAGCACUUUGGGAGGCUGAGAAGUGAGAAUUGCUUGAGUCCAGGAGUUUGAGACCAGCCUGGGCAACAUGGUAAGGCCCCAUCUCCACACAACUUUUUUUUUUUUUAAAUAAUUAUCCAGACAUGGUGGUGUGCACCUGUGAUCCCAGUUGCUUAGGAGGCUGAGGCAGGAGGAUUGCUUGGGCCCAAGAGGUCGAAGCUGCAAGAAGCUGUGUUCAUUCCACUGCACUCCAGCCUGGGUUACAGAGUGAGACCUGUCUCCAAAAA